Molecule: long non-coding RNA, 634 nt
Organism: Rhineura floridana
Lineage: Eukaryota; Metazoa; Chordata; Lepidosauria; Squamata; Rhineuridae
Exons: 3
Source: RefSeq, a predicted model, not a curated record
CUCCUUUCAAGACUUGCCAAGAUUGCAAUCACCUCAUGAAAGGCCUGCCUGUGCAAACUUGUUCUAAGGUUGUCUUCUUAGAACAGCAGAGCCCUUUCUGGAGCAUUGCAAAAUGGUUUUGAAACUCUCCUGAGUUUCAUAAGUGUAAGGAACUGCUCUUCAAGUAUCAAGGCACAAAGCUUUUCCGGAUGUGUCCAACCAGUUAUGCUGGUCUUUCGAUUGUGGCACUGGUGAGCAAGAGGAUGGACUCCAACAAGACCUGCUCCUUCCUUUCUUACACCACGAGCAGUUUGUUGCCUUGGAAUGGCUUGAUUUGUUUAUUUCAGUACAAGACCAGCAAACCUUGGAAUGGCUGCCAUUAUGGAGAAUUGCUUUUCUGCCUUAAAAACAGACUUUGAGCUCAAGCUCCAGGACCGACAGAGCGGAUGGUGUCAAAGGCAGCAGCAAAGCACGAGAAUACAAAAUAGCAACAGUGAGAAAAACUGCACACCCUUGUGGAUUGUCUGCCCGAAGGCUCAGUGAAUCAUGGAGAGACAGGAAACCACCUCGAGGCCAAUAGAUGAAACAAGGAGAACCAGACUGGGUUCCUGAGAUCUUUUCUGUGUCUUGUAAUAAAGUAAUUAAUAAAAAGAUU